AUUUAAAAUUUUGACAUAGUAAUUGGGGAGGGGUUUACGCGAUGGACCGCGCUCACACACGAACUAAUUUUUGUUAAGUUUACUCUCGUUUCUGAUCAUUAAAUUCCUGCUGAACAUUCGAGAUCUUUCCCUCGAGAGUCUUCAUUUCUUUUUGCACUACCACUCUGACUUUAUCCUUUUAGCCUUUUUCCAAUUUCUGGAAUCUUCAAAAAGAAAUCUUUAAACUCUUUUUAAUAUACUUGAAUACACUACUCUAUCUUGUUCACUUGUUUCAUUCGUCUUUGUACCGCAAAUCCUUUACGUCUUCUUCCCUCAUCUCAAAGUUCAAGCCAAAGGGAAUUAUGUCUCAGAACAUGUGACUGCGGGACACUUCCACAGAUUCAGCCUUGAUCAAGAACUGUAGUUUAGAAAGUGAUUUUUGUUCAUUCUGAAGAUAAUGGAAACCAACAGCAGUAAUUCUCAUUCCCAUGAAAGUCAGAGUUCGGAGGUUCCCAAUGAUGCUAGCAAAGACAGUUCAACUGAGAAAGUGGUCUUUUUAAAUCAUGUGAUACCAGAGGCUAGCCAUCAAUGCUUUAUAAGACUCUAGCCAGUGUUUAAAUCAGCUGAGAUAGCUUGGCAUGAGAGGAGGAAGCAGUGGGUGGUGUUAAGUCUCAAAAGUCAAAGAGAUUACCUAGAGAGCCAGUUAUGAGGCAUGUAAUAUAUAGCUUGUUCUUUUUGAUGCUGCUGGCAUGCAUACAUUCAGUAAAUAGCUAAGAAUUGUUUUUCCAACAUUAUUUUUGGUUUCUUUAGUUUAUUUGCUGGUACCUUAAAUUUGUAUAAUACAAGUGGAUGUAAUCUGAUCCAGAUCUUAGGAAUCACAUCUUAUUAUCACUCAUUGAAUAUUAACUUUGGUUGCUUCAACAAUUGCAUCUGUGUAUCAUAGGAUUGGAUCACUGAAUUGUAUUAGUGGUUGAGUUUUUUAUUUGCUUUUCUGUCAUCUGCAUGUUAGCACCAGAUAUGAGAAACAUUUUUUUAAUGUACAUUCCUUAAUAUCUAAUGUGAAAAGAAUGUUCUUGAAAUGACUAUAUCAAUCUUAUUAUUCUUUUCAUCCUCAACUUUAAGGUUUGCUCUUUGAAUUAUUCUUAAUAUUUUUUACAUCGACAGUUUUUAUUCUUGAUCUGAUCUGAGGAGUACAGUUGUUUCAGGGGAGUUUAUGUCAGAGUUAAGUUGGCUGCUUUGUAUUUGUCUAGGGAUAGAUGGAUAGACUGCUUCUACAUUUUCUUAAUAAACCACUCCUAAGCAUUGGGGAAAAAGAAAAUAAAACAAAGAUUAUUUCAAUGGAGGAAAUAUAUGAUGUAGAAAUUAUUAAGAUACAGCAUGUGAAAUUGUUUUUAGCUUGACAAUUAUUCAUCACUGACACUGAUAAUUUUUCAUUGGUAAAAUAGUGUUUAAUCUAAAUGUUUGCCAAAACUUAGUUUGGACUGGGGAUUGCAUGAAGCCCUUCUUUUAUCUUGUUUUGUCAUGCAAAAUUUUUCACUGUGGUUGGAAUCAUAUGCUAGGGAAUGGGAAUCUGUACAAUGACCAACUAGUGAUUUAUAUAAGGCCAAAAGACUUAUUCCCACCCAAGGUUUGUUGUAAACCUAAACUAGUACCUGCUAACUUUGGAAAACCCAAAUUUCUACCUAUAGACUGUUAAAAUUAACUAAAACAAUUAAUUUUAGAGAUAAAAUUGUCAUUUAACUAGUAAUAUAUUAACAAUAUAACACAUUAUCCAUUUUUAUUUUAGGUUUAAAAAAUUAAUAAUUUUCUUCCAGAAUAAAUCUUUGAAAAAUCACAUUUUCUUCUUUAGAGUUUCUUUCUUUUGUCUCUUCCCUUCUCUGGCCGGAUUCUCUCUCUCUCCCAUUUUCUUCCACUAUUUUGGCUUCUCUCUUCCUUUUCUACCCUUUCUGAACGCCAAAAAAUCAUAGAUCUCUAGAUGAAGCAAGAGACAAAUCUCUUGCUUCAUCCAGAGACAAAUUUCAUCUCCAAAGAUAGCCUUGUCUUCAUCUUUGGACGAAGAAAAGGUUGUCUUCGUCCAAAGACAACGUUCAUCUCUAGGCAAAGCAAGAGAUUCUAAAGAUCUGCAAUUUCCGAUGUUGAGAAGGGGAAGAAAAGAGAGAGAGAAGCCAAAAUAGGGGAAGGAGAGAGAAUCCGACCAAAGACAGCGCCGGAGAAGGGGAGGGAGAAAAGAAAAAAAAACCUUAGAGGGAAAAUGUGAUUUUUUUUAAGUUUAAUCUUAGAAUUAACUGUUUCAGCUAAUUUUAACAGCCCAUGAGUGAAAGUUUAGGUUUUCAAAAGUUAGCGGAUACUAGUUUGGGUUUACAACAAACCUUGGGUGGGAAUAAGUAUUUUGGCCUUUAUAUAAUUGUAAAGGGCAUACACUCUGCUUCCUAAUGAAAAUAAUUGUUGAAUCUUCGUUUGCAGCUGGACCACAACUUACGAGGACCUGCUUUGUUCUAAUGAACCUUUUCAACGGCCAAUCUCACUAGCAGAGAUGGUGGAUUUCUUAGUUGACAUCUGGCAUGAAGAAGGCCUUUAUGAUUAGCUAAAGUUUUCUGAGGUGAUUGCACAGUUAUGUUUGUGCAGAUUGACAAAACGACAUAGGUUGUACAGAAACUAAAUCCUGAAAGUUGAUUAAAAACGUAUAAUGUAGAUCACAGUGACGUGUAGAGAAUCAGCAUAUCUUGGAAUGUCAUUUCAUUGAAGGCUCAGGUAAGACUAUUUUACACACAUAAUGACGGAUACUUUAAUCUGGUUUAUAAGGUUCAGGGUUUAAAUUGAAUUAAAUCUCCCAAGAUAAGUUUUUGAGGUUGAGCUUAAAUGUGAUGGACGAUGUAAUGGGCUCCAAUCAAUGGUAGCUAAACCUGCUGUGAGUAGUAGAUCAAGAACCCCAGAGUCAGUUAUCUUAAAAGUGGAGUAUUUGAUUGCAUCUCUUGAAAUUCUGAAAGGGCUUAAUGUGGGAAGCUCAUCACUAUUUCUUUUAGAGUCCUACAAAUCUCUCAAACAAGCGCUAUUCAUGCUCAAAUUAUUGUCAAUGGCACCAUCAGCAGACUAUCUCCAAUUUUGCCUUGUGGGGUUCCAAAGAUGGUCUUCUUCACUCUCAAUACAUCUUUCACAGUUUGUUAAGCCGAUUAUAUAUAUCUGGAGCACUAUGAUCAGAGGCUACUCUCAUAUUGAUUCGCCUUAUCAAUCACUCGUCGUCUAUAUGUACUGCUUUCUAGAGGAAUUGUAUCCCCAAAUAACUUCACAUUCCCAAAAUAUCUCAACUCUUGUGCGGGUCUCUCAAGCCCGAACACAGGAUUUUUUAUUGCUUACAUUCCCAUAAUGUCUUAAAUCUUGUGCCAGUCUCCCAAGCCCGUACUCGGGAUUUUUAGAUUCAUUGUCAUAUAAAUAUGUUUGGCUUCCA
This is a long non-coding RNA of Mangifera indica (mango), 3424 nucleotides long. RefSeq lists it as uncharacterized. NCBI's taxonomy places the organism in Eukaryota, Viridiplantae, Streptophyta, Magnoliopsida, Sapindales, Anacardiaceae. The record is from RefSeq and is a predicted model, not a curated record. The transcript is spliced from 6 exons.